Molecule: ribosomal RNA, 322 nt
Filed under: Gyrodactylus cf. micropsi
Lineage: Eukaryota; Metazoa; Platyhelminthes; Monogenea; Gyrodactylidea; Gyrodactylidae
Also listed under: 3 other names
Description: bacterial SSU rRNA
Rfam family: Eukaryotic small subunit ribosomal RNA
Source: RNAcentral
AGCAGCCGCGGUAACUCCAGCUCCAAUAGCAUAUAUUAAAAUUGCUGCAGUUAAAAAGCUCGUAGUUGGAUCUGGGUUUGUGUUUGGAGACUGCUUGUCUUGGGUGGAGAGGUAACUCAAAGCCUUUGGCGGUGGUAUAUCUGAACCGAAUCUUCCAGCUGUGUCUGCAUAGGGCUUCGGCUUUGUGUGGAUAGUUUCGUUGUGUGUGAGCUUCCUCACGGGGUUCUACCUUCGUUACUAUACGCUGUAAUGCCUUUAAUCGGGUGUUCAGUGUGGACAGCACGUUUACUUUGAACAAAUUUGAGUGCUCAAAGCAGGCCUU